UCAGGACGAACGCUGGCGGCGUGCCUAACACAUGCAAGUCGAGCGAGGAGAUCCUUCGGGAUGAUCCUAGCGGCGGACGGGUGAGUAACACGUGGGCAACCUGCCUCAUAGAGAGGAAUAGCCUUCCGAAAGGGAGAUUAAUACCUCAUAACAUUGCAGUUUCGCAUGAAACAGCAAUUAAAGGAGCAAUCCGCUAUGAGAUGGGCCCGCGGCGCAUUAGCUAGUUGGUGAGGUAACGGCUCACCAAGGCGACGAUGCGUAGCCGACCUGAGAGGGUGAUCGGCCACAUUGGGACUGAGACACGGCCCAGACUCCUACGGGAGGCAGCAGUGGGGAAUAUUGCACAAUGGGGGAAACCCUGAUGCCAGCAACGCCGCGUGAGUGAUGACGGCCUUCGGGUUGUAAAGCUCUGUCUUCAGGGACGAUAAUGACGGUACCUGAGGAGGAAGCCACGGCUAACUACGUGCCAGCCGCCGC
Molecule: ribosomal RNA, 477 nt
Filed under: uncultured bacterium
Lineage: Bacteria
Description: bacterial SSU rRNA
Rfam family: Bacterial small subunit ribosomal RNA
Source: RNAcentral